UAGGGAAUCUUCGGCAAUGGACGAAAGUCUGACCGAGCAACGCCGCGUGAGUGAAGAAGGUUUUCGGAUCGUAAAACUCUGUUGUUAGAGAAGAACAAGGACGUUAGUAACUGAACGUCCCCUGACGGUAUCUAACCAGAAAGCCACGGCUAACUACGUGCCAGCAGCCGCGGUAAUACGUAGGUGGCAAGCGUUGUCCGGAUUUAUUGGGCGUAAAGCGAGCGCAGGCGGUUUCUUAAGUCUGAUGUGAAAGCCCCCGGCUCAACCGGGGAGGGUCAUUUGAAACUGGGAUGCUUGAGUGCAGAAGAGUAGAGUAGAAUUCCAUGUGUAUCAGUGAAAUGCGUAGAUAUAUGGAGGAACACCUGUGGCGAAGGCGGCUCUCCGGUCUGUAACUGACGCUGAGGCUCGAAAGCGUGGGGAGCAAACAGU
Molecule: ribosomal RNA, 429 nt
Filed under: Gemmatimonadota bacterium
Lineage: Bacteria; Pseudomonadati; Gemmatimonadota
Description: Gemmatimonadetes bacterium partial 16S ribosomal RNA
Rfam family: Bacterial small subunit ribosomal RNA
Source: RNAcentral